AUUGAACGCUGGCGGCAGGCCUAACACAUGCAAGUCGAGCGAGCGGCGGACGGGUGAGUAAUGUCUGGGAAACUGCCUGAUGGAGGGGGAUAACUCCUGGAAACGGUAGCUAAUACCGAAUAACAUCCGCUGUGCCCAGAUGGGAUGAGCUAGUAGGUGGGGUAACGGCUCACCUAGGCGACGAUCUCUAGCUGGUGUGCGAGGAUGACCAGCCACACUGUAACUGAGACACGGUCCAGACUCCUACGGGAGGCAGCAGUGGGGAAUAUUUCACAAUGGGCGCAAGCCUGAUGCAGCCAUGCCGCGUGUGGGAAGAAGGCCUUCGGGUUGUAAAGCACUUUCAGCGGGGAGGCGUUACCCGCAGAAGAAGCACCGGCUAACUCCGUGCCAGCAGCCGCGGUAAUUC
RNAcentral lists this ribosomal RNA (406 nucleotides) under uncultured bacterium. RNAcentral describes it as "partial 16S ribosomal RNA". It matches the Rfam family "Bacterial small subunit ribosomal RNA", at positions 30 to 526 of the family's 1533-position model. The record is from RNAcentral.